This 253-nucleotide ribosomal RNA is filed under the name uncultured bacterium. RNAcentral's name for it is "partial 16S ribosomal RNA". It matches the Rfam family "Bacterial small subunit ribosomal RNA", at positions 524 to 776 of the family's 1533-position model. The record is from RNAcentral.
UACGUAGGGUGCAAGCGUUAAUCGGAAUUACUGGGCGUAAAGCGUGCGCAGGCGGUUGUGCAAGACAGGGGUGAAAUCCCCGGGCUUAACCUGGGAACUGCACUUGUGACUGCACGGCUGGAGUACGGCAGAGGGGGAUGGAAUUCCGCGUGUAGCAGUGAAAUGCGUAGAUAUCAGGAGGAACACCGGUGGCGAAGGCGCUCAUCUGGCCCAAUACUGACGCUGCAGCGCGAAAGCUAGGGGAGCAAACGGG